RNAcentral lists this unclassified non-coding RNA (790 nucleotides) under Anemopaegma arvense. Its description in RNAcentral is "partial external transcribed spacer". Lineage: Eukaryota; Viridiplantae; Streptophyta; Magnoliopsida; Lamiales; Bignoniaceae. The record is from RNAcentral.
GAUUGUGGCCAUAACGGGAGUCGGUGGGUUAGCUAUUUUCGUGGGGAGCCUGAGCAAGUAGUGAGUUGUGUCGUGUGCAUUUAGCAUUUUGCUGUGCAAUCUGUGCCGAGUCGGCACGGAGCGUGCGGUUGGUGCAUGUGGGAAAAGGGUUGCGCACGGCAUGACAAGCUGUUUGGGGUGGCGAACUGUGGCUUGGCGAGCUUGCCGCAUCAGGGUGCCUCCGUGCCUAGCGGGGCGUGCUUGGGCGUUUUGGUUGUUAUUUGUUGCUUGUAAUGUUCGAAUGCAUUGUGAAGCAAUGAAUGGUGGCCUCUUCGUUCGGGCAUCGUGUACGUAUGGUGCGUGAGUGGUGGUUGGCUUGUAUGGGCACGUUGGAUCCCUGCUUGGGCAGCGACAGCGUGCCUUUCUGGCUUUUUCAGUGGGCGGCCCAAGUGCAUGUUAGCCUUGGCCAUACUCGGUUUCCUGUGUUGCAUACCAAUCGGGAGGGUAUUGAUUCGGUUAAAAAUGUCCCAUUUUCACCUUGUGCCGGGCCUCCUAGGGCUGCGGUGCGGGGUGGACCCUAAAGCAUCCGCCGUGUUCCACUACCCCUGCGUUUUCACACGUGUUCGGGUUGUUGGCCCAUGGCGUCAAUGCUUGGUCUCUCGGAUGCGGAAAAAUUAGUGGGCAUGAGGCCCCUAGCCCCUAUUUGCCCCGAAAGAAAGCAUUGUAUGCUUUGUAUGAACGACGACCUUUGCCACUAUGAUUGAGUCUUCGUGGCUUCGAUCAUGUGGUAAUGGCGCCGAUGAGGAAUGCU